Molecule: microRNA precursor, 149 nt
Filed under: Oryza rufipogon (brownbeard rice)
Lineage: Eukaryota; Viridiplantae; Streptophyta; Magnoliopsida; Poales; Poaceae
Description: MIR156c
Rfam family: mir-156 microRNA precursor family (bases 28-120)
About the family: This family represents the plant microRNA (miRNA) precursor mir-156. Animal miRNAs are transcribed as ~70nt precursors and subsequently processed by the Dicer enzyme to give a ~22nt product. In plants the precursor sequences may be longer, and the carpel factory (caf) enzyme appears to be involved in processing.
Source: RNAcentral
GGAGGAAGAGAGGGGUGAGAGGUGAGGCUGACAGAAGAGAGUGAGCACACAUGGUGACUUUCUCGCAUGCUGAAUGGACUCAUGCUUGAAGCUAUGUGUGCUCACUUCUCUCUCUGUCAGCCAUUUGAUCUCUCUUUCUCUCUUUCUCC